GGGGUUCUGGCUCAGUGGUAGAGCACUUGCCUAGCACGUGUGAGACACUGGGUUCAAUUCUCAGCACCGCCU
RNAcentral lists this transfer RNA (72 nucleotides) under Ictidomys tridecemlineatus (thirteen-lined ground squirrel). RNAcentral describes it as "Spermophilus tridecemlineatus (thirteen-lined ground squirrel) tRNA". It matches the Rfam family "tRNA". Rfam says of the family: Transfer RNA (tRNA) molecules are approximately 80 nucleotides in length. Their secondary structure includes four short double-helical elements and three loops (D, anti-codon, and T loops). Further hydrogen bonds mediate the characteristic L-shaped molecular structure. tRNAs have two regions of fundamental functional importance: the anti-codon, which is responsible for specific mRNA codon recognition, and the 3' end, to which the tRNAs corresponding amino acid is attached (by aminoacyl-tRNA synthetases). tRNAs cope with the degeneracy of the genetic code in two manners: having more than one tRNA (with a specific anti-codon) for a particular amino acid; and 'wobble' base-pairing, i.e. permitting non-standard base-pairing at the 3rd anti-codon position. Lineage: Eukaryota; Metazoa; Chordata; Mammalia; Rodentia; Sciuridae. The record is from Rfam by way of RNAcentral.